Mytilus californianus (California mussel) is the source of this 464-nucleotide long non-coding RNA. RefSeq lists it as uncharacterized. The record is from RefSeq and is a predicted model, not a curated record. The transcript has 3 exons. NCBI's taxonomy places the organism in Eukaryota, Metazoa, Mollusca, Bivalvia, Mytilida, Mytilidae.
UAUUGUGUCUGAUGUUUUGAAUUAUGUAUGUGACAAGCGGGAUGAAUUGAUCAAGUUGCCGAGAAUUGUCAAUGAAACUGAAGGAGACUUUUACCGACUAAAUUAGUUUCUAAAUGUGCUAGGAGCAAUACAUGGGACACACGUCAGUAUCCAGGCUCUAUUAAAAGAUGAACCAUCAUUUGUGAAUAGAAAAGGGGUACAUUCUGUCAAUGUGCAGGCUGUAUGUGAUGCCAGAGGUAAAUUCACAAACAUAAAUACACUGGCUAGGUUGCAGUCAUUAUUCGCACAUAUUCAGGACUUCACAAAUAAGAAUGACACCUUGCAAGGCAUGCACAAUAAUUAUUGCUUGUGCUUUUCUCCACAAUAUAUGCAUUUUGUUGAAUGAACCUGACAUUGAAGAUGAUGGAUUAACUGUAGGCAAUGAUGGUCAUCUUCGGGAACAGUUCAAUGGAGAUCAAAAUGGA